Molecule: ribosomal RNA, 503 nt
Filed under: uncultured Glomeromycotina
Lineage: Eukaryota; Fungi; Glomeromycota
Description: partial small subunit ribosomal RNA
Rfam family: Eukaryotic small subunit ribosomal RNA
Source: RNAcentral
CCAAUAGCGUAUAUUAAAGUUGUUGCAGUUAAAAAGCUCGUAGUUGAAUUUCGGGAUUGGCGUACCGGUCGUGUCUUCGGGCAUGUACUGGUAAUGUUAAUCUCCACCUUCUAGUGAACUAUUAUGUCUUUAACUAGGUGUAAUAGGGAGCUAGGACUGUUACUUUGAAAAAAUUAGAGUGUUUAAAGCAGGCUUUAUGCUUGAAUAGAUUAGCAUGGAAUAACGAAAUAGGACGGCAUGAUUCUAUUUUGUUGGUUUCUAGGAUCACCGUAAUGAUUAAUAGUGAUAGUUGGGGGCAUUAGUAUUCAAUUGUCAGAGGUGAAAUUCUUGGAUUUAUUGAAGACUAACUACUGCGAAAGCAUUUGCCAAGGAUGUUUUCAUUAAUCAAGAACGAAAGUUAGGGGAUCGAAGACGAUCAGAUACCGUCGUAGUCUUAACCAUAAACUAUGCCGACUAGGAAUCAGACUCAGUUUAUUUUUUAAUGACGAGUUUGGCACCUUACG